RNAcentral lists this transfer RNA (85 nucleotides) under Felis catus (domestic cat). It matches the Rfam family "tRNA". Rfam says of the family: Transfer RNA (tRNA) molecules are approximately 80 nucleotides in length. The record is from Rfam by way of RNAcentral. Lineage: Eukaryota; Metazoa; Chordata; Mammalia; Carnivora; Felidae.
GCCUGGGUGGCUCAGUCGGUUGAGUGUCCGACUUCGGCUCCUGUCAUGAUCUCAUGGUUUGUGGGUUCGAGCCCCACGUCAGGCU